GCCGGAUGUGGUGGCGCAUGCCUGUAGUCCCAGCUACUAGGGAGGCUGAGGUGGGAGGACCACUUGAGCCCAGGAGUUCUGGGCUGUAGUGCGCUAUGCCGAUUGGGUGUCCGCACUGAGUUUGGCAUCAACAUGGUGACCUCCCGGGAGCCGGGGAUCACCAGGUUGCCUAAGGAGGGGUGAACCGGCCCAGGUCGGAAAUGGAGCAGGUCAGAACUCCCGUGCUGAUCAGUAGUGGGUUCGUGCCUGUGAAUAGCUGCUGCACUCCAGCCAGGGCAACAUAGCGAGACCCCAUCUCU
Molecule: signal recognition particle RNA, 299 nt
Filed under: Aotus nancymaae (Ma's night monkey)
Lineage: Eukaryota; Metazoa; Chordata; Mammalia; Primates; Aotidae
Description: Metazoan signal recognition particle RNA (ENSANAG00000009204.1)
Rfam family: Metazoan signal recognition particle RNA
About the family: The signal recognition particle (SRP) is a universally conserved ribonucleoprotein.
Source: RNAcentral